Molecule: ribosomal RNA, 256 nt
Filed under: uncultured bacterium
Lineage: Bacteria
Description: partial 16S ribosomal RNA
Rfam family: Bacterial small subunit ribosomal RNA
Source: RNAcentral
UACGUAGGGGGCAAGCGUUGUCCGGAAUCAUUGGGCGUAAAGAGCGUGUAGGCGGCUCGAUAAGUCCGCUCUGAAAGCCCGGGGCUCAACCCCGGGAGGCGGGCGGAUACUGUCGAGCUAGAGUCCUGAAGAGGCGAGUGGAAUUCCUGGUGUAGCGGUGAAAAUGCGCAGAUAUCAGGAGGAACACCAAUGGCGAAGGCAGCUCGCUGGGGACGGUACUGACGCUGAGACGCGAAAGCGUGGGGGAGCAAACAGG